This 485-nucleotide ribosomal RNA is filed under the name uncultured bacterium. Its description in RNAcentral is "bacterial SSU rRNA". It matches the Rfam family "Bacterial small subunit ribosomal RNA", at positions 28 to 524 of the family's 1533-position model. The record is from RNAcentral.
GAUGAACGCUAGCGGCAGGCUUAAUACAUGCAAGUCAAGGGGGUAGCAAUACAACCGGCGCACGGGUGAGUAACGCGUACACAACAUACCAUAUACUGGAGUAUAGCUUUGGGAAACUGAAGGUAAUCCUCCAUAACAUUGCGAGAGGGCAUCUGAUUGCAAUUAAAGUUUCGGCGGUAUAUGAUUGGUGUGCGUUUGAUUAGCUAGUUGGUAGGGUAACGGCCUACCAAGGCGACGAUCAAUAGCUGGCGUGAGAGCGCGACCAGCCACACUGGAACUGAGACACGGUCCAGACUCCUACGGGAGGCAGCAGUAGGGAAUAUUGGACAAUGGAGGAAACUCUGAUCCAGCCAUGCCGCGUGAUAGAUGAAGGCCCUCUGGGUUGUAAAUAUCUUUUAUCUGGGAAGAAACACCCCUAUUCUUAGGAACUUGACGGUACCAGAGGAAUAAGCACCGGCUAACUCCGUGCCAGCAGCCGCGGUAAU